Molecule: long non-coding RNA, 707 nt
Filed under: Felis catus (domestic cat)
Lineage: Eukaryota; Metazoa; Chordata; Mammalia; Carnivora; Felidae
Description: lncRNA (ENSFCAG00000043425.2)
Source: RNAcentral
AUAAAGAGGGUGUGGGGGAUUUCUGCAAGUUGGCAAUAUUUUCUCCUCUCUCUCUCUCUCUCUCUCUCUCUCCUUAAGUUGGCUGGUUCUGUAACAUUCAUUAUGCUCUUCUUAAUAGAUCCCAGAAAUGCUGAAAUUGUCCUUCAGAGGAAGCAUUCACUUGAAACAACAAAAGAUUAGAGAAACCUGAAAAAUGUUGGAUUUUCUUUACCUUUUGAAGAAGGCCAGCUGGAACCUUCUGAAAUUAUUCCUGUUACAGUGUGCAGCCACAAACAGGACGGAUGGCCCAGGACUUCUUCAAGGUCUGCUCAUUCCAUUGUAUGAGGAAGGCCAAGAUGGCUGCACAACUGCGACUGAUGCCCGGGGUGGAAAGGAUCAGGAUGACAGAGCCAAGCGGGAGGUGAAUUUUGAGAAAGUGACAGAGGCGACUUAAAAAGGAGGACGGAGCGAAGCAUGGGAGGAUGUUUGGGAAGGGCUGUAUCUGCAAGAUGGUUCACUGGAUGAGACAAUCUGAGGGCAGGCCAAAUACGACACAACUUUCUUCACAAAAAGGUCAGUUAAGGAAACAAAAACUACCAAAAAAUUUCUAAAGGCAUCUUACUCCCCUGUAUAGUCUUGCAACUUAGAUGACCCACUAAUAUGAAUAUUGGAACGACAGUGGGAAAAAAAUGACAUUAUUUUGUAGCCUCCAAAGGGUUAAUAUCAGG